RNA transcript from Drosophila virilis, 2479 nucleotides. It is a transcript of the gene named lipid scramblase CLPTM1L, with no coding region annotated. Lineage: Eukaryota; Metazoa; Arthropoda; Insecta; Diptera; Drosophilidae. The record is from RefSeq and is a predicted model, not a curated record.
CACAUCAAAAUCAAAAGCAGCGGACGAAAAGAUGUAGAAACGUGUGCGUCAAAAAAUAUAAUAGAAAUUAAAAAAAAAAAAAACGAGAAGCCCCACAAACAUUUUGUGUGUGAACGUAGCGCGUGAGUAGGCUCAGAGCCAUUGGCCACUGUGCAACACCAGUUGGCAACGUUGUGCAACACUGAAACAGCUACGCCGGCAUUUAGCGCACUUCGAUGUGCAUUAAUUGAGAGACGUUUACCAAUUUUCAAUUGCCAACGCCAAACGGCAGCGCCAGCGCCUUUCGACUCAUACGCAUCCUCAGCUCGGGGCGUUGGCAGCACACGCACAGACAUUCUCAUCAGUUGGCGGCACAGUUGGCGUCAUGGCCAUGCCUUCGAUCUCAACGCUGGUGGGCGUGGCGUUUUUAGCCUACAUCCUGCAUUCCAUAUACCAAAUGUCGCAGCUCUUCACGACGCUCAAGUGCAGCGACUCGCCCUGCUACACAUCGUUCCUGGCGGAGCGGCCGCGUCUGCAGCUGGCGCUGUUCAGUUCGCUGACACGUAAUCCGAUUGCCUCCGAGGUGCAGGAUCUGUACAAGACGAAGCGUUUCGAUUAUGGCAAACCCUUCGAUCAGGACUUCAAGCUGGAUGUGCCGCUCAAGACGCGCCGCAACGGCACGCUCUACCUGCAUGUGGUGCUGGCGCUGGAGGGCGAGCCGCUCGAGUGGCGCACCCUGCGCCGCGAGGGACCCACCGUGCUGCACACGCUCAGCAUGUGCGAGUAUAUGUUGCCGCGGGCGGAGGCCUUUAAUCUGCUGGGCGAUGGCGAGAAGCAGUCGUCGUCGUCGUCAUCAUCGCCAACGGCGGCGCCCGUGAAGCGGUCAUCUGUGCCGGGUCGACCCAUCACACACAUACGUAGCGAUGUGUACGUGACGCUGCUGACGGAUCUGUUUGCGCUGUCGCAGGCGGACGUGCCGCCAGAGAUGGCACAGCUGAUACGCGUGAAUCGCAUGCAACAAAUACUGCCCAUACUGCAGACGGACAUGUUCAAUACACGGCUCAAGGAUCUGGUUGCCGUGACGAGCAACACCACCGAAUUCACAUUCCGCUUCCAUUACAAGCCCGUCGGCGUGGGCAAGCUGCGCCUGAUGCUGCUCAUGGAGCACGCCACACAGGCGCUGCAGGCGUUCGGAUUUGCCAGCAAGGACAUUGACGAGGUCAAGGGCAUCUUCUCCGACACGAAUGUGUACCUGCUCUGCGGCACCAUCUUCGUGUCCAGCAUUCACAUGCUCUUCGACUUUCUGAGCUUCAAGAACGACGUGUCCUUUUGGCGCCAGAAACGCUCCUACGAGGGCUUGUCCACGCGCACCACACUCUGGCGCGCCUUCUCGCAGAUCGUCAUCUUUCUGUAUCUGCUGGACGAGCAGACAUCGUAUCUGGUGCUGGUGCCCGUCGGCCUCGGCACCCUGAUCGAGCUGUGGAAAUGCAAGAAGAUAUUGCGGCUCGAGCUGAGUUUCAGCUCGUUCAUCAGCCGCAAACUGGAGGAGGUGGAUCAGCGCAACGGGCAAGCACAGCCCGCCGCUGGCCAGCUGGCCGAGCAGCAGACGCAGCAGUUCGAUCGCGAGGGCAUGCGCUAUCUCAGCUAUCUGCUGUAUCCGCUGUGCCUGGGCGGCGCCGUCUAUUCGCUGCUGUAUCAGCCGCAUCGCUCCUGGUACAGCUGGACCCUUAACUCGCUGGUGAAUGGCGUCUAUGCGUUUGGGUUUCUGUUCAUGCUGCCGCAGCUGUUUGUCAACUACAAGCUCAAGUCUGUGGCGGCUCUGCCCUGGCGCGCUUUCAUGUACAAGGCCUUCAAUACGUUCAUCGACGACUUCUUUGCCUUCAUCAUCACCAUGCCGACGGCUCAUCGUGUCGCCUGCCUGCGCGACGAUAUUGUGUUCCUUAUCUAUUUGUAUCAGCGCUGGCUCUAUCCGGUGGACGCAACGCGCGUCGAUACGGGCCUCGCCAUUGAUGAGACGCCUCCGGCUCGUGGCACCGGCUCCGGGUCUCGCCCCAAGCGCGACUAAAGCCUCGCUUCGGCUCAUGACAUCACAAUGCUAAGUAGCUGCAUAUUCCGUCGAUUUGUUUAGCAAAUAGUUGCAACCAUUGGCUGUAAUCAAUAUACCCUACACACACACACACACACACACAUACACACACACACACACACACACACACCCAUUUGGAUCCUACUCGCCACACAAAUUUGUAUACCCUGUAUCCCACUGGAUGCAUAGCAGGCGGAGAGGCAGCCAACACAGUAGCAACAUAAUCUGCCCUAGUGGAGGAGGCGACAUAUUCUUGAUAAGCCGGGAUAUACAUAUAUUCCCAUUUUCACCGCUUUCACGCAGGCAAGUUCCCCAAGCAGGCAGUAAAUAUGUCCAGAGUCGUCCGGAUCGGACCACUAUAAAACCCUUCCUUUAUACUCCCAAUAUAAACACAAGUUCUUUUCAACAUCGGAA